ACAAUAACUUAAUAGUCCAAGUAUUCAACAUCCUGUGUCACGUGGACACAGGUCUAGAACAUUUCCAAAUUGCGGGACUGUUUCCUGCAAACCGCUUCUGUUGGAGCUGUGAAGACAUGUCGGCUGAUGGAGAUGUGAAUUUCCCCCACUCCCUUUCAUAUUCUCAAAUUGCAGAAAAAACUCCAAGUGUGAUGACUGUAAAGCAACCAUGGAUCACCCUUCGACGAAAAGAAGUGGUGGAGGAAAAACCUGCUAUUUGCCAACUAGUGGAACGAUGGCCUGCUCUUUUCCUAGAAAAUCAGAAUUGUUGGGAUUGAUUUGCAGCAGUGCUUUUAUGGAGGCCUUGAUCAACACAACUCGUGACUCAUUGAAGUUUUCAGAAUCAAGAGGGGACUUACUGGACAAAUUUUGUCAAGAUGUUUACAGCAAGCCAAGACCUCAGAGCCAACUGUCCAAUGAACCCUAGCAUUAAGAGGACAGAAGAUUUCUUCAAGACAUGCAUUGAUGCGAAUGAAGAGGAGACGAUUAGCAGUAUUGCUACUGGGAUCCUCAUUGUGGAGCGUGAUGAAGGAGGACACAAUCCCAACUCCCUUUGCUUGAAUCCAUUGUCAGUGGGGAUCAUUCUUGUUUUCUUUCAUUUACAUUCUUAAAUGUAAGAUCUUGAGUACAGGUAGAAAUAAAUGUGGCUCUGUAUCAACACUUUUUUUUCUUAUUGUAUGCACAGUUGCUGUGAUGUUUAAUGGCUCAGUGUAUGUGUCUGUACCAAGUACAUAGCACUACUUAUCCUGUGGGUUUGCAACAUAAUUUAUUAGUUUUUAUGUUUCUUGCUUAGACGUUUGAAUUAAAGUGAAGUGUGCAAUCAACCAAAUGUUUAAGGUUAAUUUGCACAACCUUGACCUUGGAAAUUGAUAUUUGUUGUCUUGUUUUCUCCCAGUUGUGUGAAACUGCUGCUUUUUUCCAAUAAAUAUUUGAUAGAUUGAA
Astyanax mexicanus (Mexican tetra) is the source of this 981-nucleotide long non-coding RNA. RefSeq lists it as uncharacterized. The record is from RefSeq and is a predicted model, not a curated record. NCBI's taxonomy places the organism in Eukaryota, Metazoa, Chordata, Actinopteri, Characiformes, Acestrorhamphidae. The transcript is spliced from 5 exons.